CAUUUAAAAAUUUUUUGAAUGGGGGCCGGGCACGGAGGUACCUGCCUGUAAUCCCAGCACUUUGGGAGGCCAAGGCAGGUGGUUCACUUGAGCUCAGGAGUUUGAGAUUAGUCU
Long non-coding RNA from Sapajus apella (tufted capuchin), 114 nucleotides. RefSeq lists it as uncharacterized. The record is from RefSeq and is a predicted model, not a curated record. NCBI's taxonomy places the organism in Eukaryota, Metazoa, Chordata, Mammalia, Primates, Cebidae. The transcript has 3 exons.